CAUGUGCCCCACGCAGAGCAGAGGCAGAUGUGUGCUCGUGUUAAUCUAACCUUCACCUGCAUCUUCGUCAGGAACAGACACGAGCAUUGUGGAGAAGUCGAGAUAGGAUUGGGAACAGCUGGUCAUACCCACAGUCAAGAACAGAGAGAGAAUGAACAUAUGGCUGCCCGGGUGUGCAGGACCCCAGACUUAGGGGAUGGUACCGCCCACAGUAGGAUAGAUUUCUCUUAUAGCAAUGAUCAAUUCAGCCAAACCCUCACUGAGAUUCUUCCCUGGUGAUUCUAGCUUGUUUCGACAACUAAAACUUU
Molecule: long non-coding RNA, 308 nt
Filed under: Mus caroli (Ryukyu mouse)
Lineage: Eukaryota; Metazoa; Chordata; Mammalia; Rodentia; Muridae
Description: lncRNA (MGP_CAROLIEiJ_G0006735.1)
Source: RNAcentral